RNAcentral lists this ribosomal RNA (465 nucleotides) under Vreelandella stevensii. Its description in RNAcentral is "partial 16S ribosomal RNA". It matches the Rfam family "Bacterial small subunit ribosomal RNA", at positions 338 to 795 of the family's 1533-position model. Lineage: Bacteria; Pseudomonadati; Pseudomonadota; Gammaproteobacteria; Oceanospirillales; Halomonadaceae. The record is from RNAcentral.
CCUACGGGAGGCAGCAGUGGGGAAUAUUGGACAAUGGGCGAAAGCCUGAUCCAGCCAUGCCGCGUGUGUGAAGAAGGCCUUCGGGUUGUAAAGCACUUUCAGUGGGGAAGAAAGCCUUGGGGCUAAUACCCUCGAGGAAGGACAUCACCCACAGAAGAAGCACCGGCUAACUCCGUGCCAGCAGCCGCGGUAAUACGGAGGGUGCGAGCGUUAAUCGGAAUUACUGGGCGUAAAGCGCGCGUAGGCGGUCUGAUAAGCCGGUUGUGAAAGCCCCGGGCUCAACCUGGGAACGGCAUCCGGAACUGUCAGGCUAGAGUGCAGGAGAGGAAGGUAGAAUUCCCGGUGUAGCGGGGAAAUGCGUAGAGAUCGGGAGGAAUACCAGUGGCGAAGGCGGCCUUCUGGACUGACACUGACGCUGAGGUGCGAAAGCGUGGGUAGCAAACAGGAUUAGAUACCCCGGUAGUC